UCUUAAAAAAUUCAGCCAUUUAUAUUAUUAAAAAUUGGCAUGGCUGAUAGAAUAAUCAAACAGUGAGACAUAGCAUAUCAUGGGUACCUCAUCUUGACAUACUGAGACUAGUUUUUAACAACAAAAAUAGAUGAAAUCUUUAAUA
Non-coding RNA from Gossypium raimondii (Peruvian cotton), 145 nucleotides. The record is from Rfam. Lineage: Eukaryota; Viridiplantae; Streptophyta; Magnoliopsida; Malvales; Malvaceae.